RNAcentral lists this ribosomal RNA (646 nucleotides) under uncultured fungus. Its description in RNAcentral is "LSU rRNA". It matches the Rfam family "Eukaryotic large subunit ribosomal RNA", at positions 23 to 664 of the family's 3401-position model. The record is from RNAcentral. Lineage: Eukaryota; Fungi.
ACCCGCUGAACUUAAGCAUAUCAAUAAGCGGAGGAAAAGAAACUAACAAGGAUUCCCCUAGUAACGGCGAGUGAACCGGGAAGAGCUCAAAUUUGUAAUCUGGCCUUCGGGUCCGAGUUGUAAUCUAUAGAGGCGUUUUCCGCGCCGGACCGUGUCCAAGUCCCCUGGAAUGGGGUAUCAAAGAGGGUGAAAAUCCCGUGCUUGACGCGACGACCGGGGCUAUGUGAUACGUCUUCGACGAGUCGAGUUGUUUGGGAAUGCAGCUCAAAAUGGGUGGUAAAUUCCAUCUAAGGCUAAAUAUUGGCGAGAGACCGAUAGCGAACAAGUACCGUGAGGGAAAGAUGAAAAGAACUUUGGAAAGAGAGUUAAACAGUAUGUGAAAUUGUUAAAAGGGAAACGAUUGAAGUCAGUCUAGUCGGUCGAGAGUCAGCCUGUUCUGCAGGUCUACUUCCUUCCGAGGGUCAACAUCGGUUUGGAUCGGCGGAUAAAGAUGGAGGGAACGUGGCACCUACGGGUGUGUUAUAGCCCUCUAUUGCAUACGCCGGACCAGACCGAGGAAUGCAGCUUGCCGCAAGGCCGGGGUUCGCCCACGUACAAGCUUAGGAUGUUGACGUAAUGGCUUUAAACGACCCGUCUUGAAACACGG